Molecule: unclassified non-coding RNA, 379 nt
Filed under: Hevea brasiliensis (rubber tree)
Lineage: Eukaryota; Viridiplantae; Streptophyta; Magnoliopsida; Malpighiales; Euphorbiaceae
Source: RNAcentral
UUUUGUGUCAAAUGUGUACCUGCAGCUUUAUUCUGAAUGUGUGCCGCACUCUCACUUUGCAGUGAGCUAGAAGACUCUGCAGAGCGUGCACUAGCAGGGUUACUACGCACAGUUGAUGCUUUAGCAGAAGAAUUGGGGACUGAAUCCUUGGCUUCUGAUACUGUUUUCUUCACUGGAGCAUGAGAGAGCUUGGUCGACUGCAAUAUCUUCGAUGCUGAACCAACUGAUGACUUUGGGAGCUCUUUCAACAUUUUCUUUGGUCUUUCACGCCUCUCUUCAUCCCUACCAGCAUCCAUUGACGAACUCUCUCUUUUAUUACUCAGAUUGCUCCCAGAAAUUCCCCUCAGUUUACCAUUAGAAUCAUGAUGGUGAGCUUUCG